This 305-nucleotide ribosomal RNA is filed under the name uncultured bacterium. RNAcentral's name for it is "partial 16S ribosomal RNA". It matches the Rfam family "Bacterial small subunit ribosomal RNA", at positions 508 to 807 of the family's 1533-position model. The record is from RNAcentral.
ACAGCAGCCGCCGCGGUAAUACAGAGGGUGCAAGCGUUAAUCGGAAUUACUGGGCGUAAAGCGUGCGUAGGUGGUGGUUUAAGUCCGUUGUGAAAGCCCUGGGCUCAACCUGGGAAUUGCAGUGGAUACUGGGUCACUAGAGUGUGGUAGAGGAUAGUGGAAUUUCCGGUGUAGCAGUGAAAUGCGUAGAGAUCGGAAGGAACAUCUGUGGCGAAGGCGACUAUCUGGGCCAACACUGACACUGAGGCACGAAAGCGUGGGGAGCAAACAGGAUUAGAUACCCCUGUAGUCCCUGUCUCUUAUAC